AAACUAACAAGGAUUCCCCUAGUAACGGCGAGUGAAGCGGGAAGAGCUCAAAUUUGAAAUCUGGCACUUUCAGUGUCCGAGUUGUAAUCUCGAGAAGUGUUUUCCGCGCUGGACCGCAUAUAAGUCUGUUGGAAUACAGCGUCAUAGUGGUGAGAACCCCGUAAAUGAUGCGGACGCCCAGUGCUUUGUGAUACACUUUCGAAGAGUCGAGUUGUUUGGGAAUGCAGCUCAAAUUGGGUGGUAAAUUCCAUCUAAAGCUAAAUAUUGGCGAGAGACCGAUAGCGAACAAGUACCGUGAGGGAAAGAUGAAAAGCACUUUGGAAAGAGAGUUAACAGUACGUGAAAUUGUUGGAAGGGAAACGCUUGAAGUCAGACUUGCUGUUUGGAAUUCAGCCGCAAGGUGUACUUUUCAGAUAUGCAGGCCAGCAUCAGUUUUUGGGGGUGAAAAAGGGUAUUGAGAAGGUAGCAGUUUCGGCUGUGUUAUAGCUCUUUACUGGAUUCAUCCUUGGGGACUGAGGAACGCAGCUCACUUUUUGCACGACCCUC
RNAcentral lists this ribosomal RNA (546 nucleotides) under Slooffia tsugae. RNAcentral describes it as "partial large subunit ribosomal RNA". It matches the Rfam family "Eukaryotic large subunit ribosomal RNA", at positions 62 to 619 of the family's 3401-position model. The record is from RNAcentral. Lineage: Eukaryota; Fungi; Basidiomycota; Microbotryomycetes; Chrysozymaceae.